Molecule: ribosomal RNA, 936 nt
Filed under: Mucoromycotina sp.
Lineage: Eukaryota; Fungi; Mucoromycota
Description: LSU rRNA
Rfam family: Eukaryotic large subunit ribosomal RNA
Source: RNAcentral
UCCCCUAGUAACGGCGAGUGAAGCGGGAAAAGCUCAAAUUUGAAAUCUAGUACUUUCAGUACUCGAGUUGUAAGCUAAAGAGGCGUUUUCGGUGGGCACUUGGAUAUAAGUCCCUUGGAAUGGGGUAUCAGAGAGGGUGAGAAUCCCGUCUUCGAUCCAGAGCAGCCUACUAUGUGAUACGUCUUCAAAGAGUCGGUUUGUUUGGGAAUGCAGACCUAAAUGGGUGGUAAAUUCCAUCUAAAGCUAAAUAUAGGCGAGAGACCGAUAGCGAACAAGUACCGUGAGGGAAAGAUGAAAAGAACUUUGAAAAGAGAGUUAAAAAGUACGUGAAAUUGUUGAAAGGGAAACGUUUGGAAUCAGUCUUGUAAGCAUGAAUUCAGCCUGACUUUUAGUUGGGUGCAUUUUCUUGUUUACAGGUCAGUGUCAGUUUUGGUUGUCAGAAAAAAGCUUUGAGAACGUAGCUCCUCCGGGAGUGUUAUAUCUCUUAGCCGAUAUGAUGACCGGGACUGAGGCUCGCAGCCAGCUAGUUUUCUAGCGGGACCACGUUCGCUGGUUGGAGUUUUGUUGAGGACAGCUUGCUGACCUUGAUGAAAUUUCUGGCCACACGUUCGUUCGGUCUCCUCCUGGCUUAGGUCACUGACAUAAUGGUUCCAAAUGACCCGUCUUGAAACACGGACCAAGGAGUCUAACAUGUCUGCGAGUAUUUGGGUGAUAAACCCGAGUGCGUAAUGAAAGUGAACGUAGGUGGGAUCCGCAAGGAGCACCAUCGACCGAUCCGGAUUUUUUUGAUGGAUUUGAGUAGGAGCAGAUAUGCUGGGACCCGAAAGAUGGUGAACUAUGCCUGAAUAGGGUGAAGCCAGAGGAAACUCUGGUGGAGGCUCGUAGCGAUUCUGACGUGCAAAUCGAUCGUCAAAUUUGGGUAUAGGGGCGAAAGAC